This 2926-nucleotide ribosomal RNA is filed under the name Klebsiella michiganensis. RNAcentral's name for it is "23S ribosomal RNA". It matches the Rfam family "Bacterial large subunit ribosomal RNA". Lineage: Bacteria; Pseudomonadati; Pseudomonadota; Gammaproteobacteria; Enterobacterales; Enterobacteriaceae. The record is from RNAcentral.
GGGUUGUGAGGUUAAGCGACUAAGCGUACACGGUGGAUGCCCUGGCAGUCAGAGGCGAUGAAGGACGUGCUAAUCUGCGAAAAGCGUCGGUAAGGUGAUAUGAACCGUUACAGCCGGCGAUGUCCGAAUGGGGAAACCCAGUGCAAUUCGUUGCACUAUCGUUUGAUGAAUACAUAGUCAAACGAGGCGAACCGGGGGAACUGAAACAUCUAAGUACCCCGAGGAAAAGAAAUCAACCGAGAUUCCCCCAGUAGCGGCGAGCGAACGGGGAGCAGCCCGGAGUCUGAAUCAGCUUGUGUGUUAGUGGAAGCGUCUGGAAAGUCGCAGGGUACAGGGUGAUACUCCCGUACACUAAAACACACAGGUUGUGAACUCGAAGGGUAGGGCGGGACACGUGGUAUCCUGUCUGAAUAUGGGGGGACCAUCCUCCAAGGCUAAAUACUCCUGACUGACCGAUAGUGAACCAGUACCGUGAGGGAAAGGCGAAAAGAACCCCGGCGAGGGGAGUGAAAAAGAACCUGAAACCGUGUACGUACAAGCAGUAGGAGCCCACUAGUUGGGUGACUGCGUACCUUUUGUAUAAUGGGUCAGCGACUUAUAUUCUGUAGCAAGGUUAACCGUAUAGGGGAGCCGCAGGGAAACCGAGUCUUAACUGGGCGUUAAGUUGCAGGGUAUAGACCCGAAACCCGGUGAUCUAGCCAUGGGCAGGUUGAAGGUUGGGUAACACUAACUGGAGGACCGAACCGACUAAUGUUGAAAAAUUAGCGGAUGACUUGUGGCUGGGGGUGAAAGGCCAAUCAAACCGGGAGAUAGCUGGUUCUCCCCGAAAGCUAUUUAGGUAGCGCCUCGUGAAUUCAUCUUCGGGGGUAGAGCACUGUUUCGGCUAGGGGGUCAUCCCGACUUACCAACCCGAUGCAAACUACGAAUACCGAAGAAUGUUAUCACGGGAGACACACGGCGGGUGCUAACGUCCGUCGUGAAGAGGGAAACAACCCAGACCGCCAGCUAAGGUCCCAAAGUCAUGGUUAAGUGGGAAACGAUGUGGGAAGGCCCAGACAGCCAGGAUGUUGGCUUAGAAGCAGCCAUCAUUUAAAGAAAGCGUAAUAGCUCACUGGUCGAGUCGGCCUGCGCGGAAGAUGUAACGGGGCUAAACCAUGCACCGAAGCUGCGGCAGCGACACUAUGUGUUGUUGGGUAGGGGAGCGUUCUGUAAGCCGUUGAAGGUGGCCUGUGAGGGUUGCUGGAGGUAUCAGAAGUGCGAAUGCUGACAUAAGUAACGAUAAUGCGGGUGAAAAACCCGCACGCCGGAAGACCAAGGGUUCCUGUCCAACGUUAAUCGGGGCAGGGUGAGUCGACCCCUAAGGCGAGGCCGAAAGGCGUAGUCGAUGGGAAACAGGUUAAUAUUCCUGUACUCGGUGUUACUGCGAAGGGGGGACGGAGAAGGCUAUGUUGGCCGGGCGACGGUUGUCCCGGUUUAAGCGUGUAGGUGUGUGUUCCAGGUAAAUCCGGUUCACUUUAACACUGAGGCGUGAUGACGAGGCACUACGGUGCUGAAGUGACAAAUGCCCUGCUUCCAGGAAAAGCCUCUAAGCAUCAGGUAACAUCAAAUCGUACCCCAAACCGACACAGGUGGUCAGGUAGAGAAUACCAAGGCGCUUGAGAGAACUCGGGUGAAGGAACUAGGCAAAAUGGUGCCGUAACUUCGGGAGAAGGCACGCUGAUGGUAAGUGAAGCGACUUGCUCGUGGAGCUGAAAUCAGUCGAAGAUACCAGCUGGCUGCAACUGUUUAUUAAAAACACAGCACUGUGCAAACACGAAAGUGGACGUAUACGGUGUGACGCCUGCCCGGUGCCGGAAGGUUAAUUGAUGGGGUUAUCCUCGCGGAGAAGCUCUUGAUCGAAGCCCCGGUAAACGGCGGCCGUAACUAUAACGGUCCUAAGGUAGCGAAAUUCCUUGUCGGGUAAGUUCCGACCUGCACGAAUGGCGUAAUGAUGGCCAGGCUGUCUCCACCCGAGACUCAGUGAAAUUGAACUCGCUGUGAAGAUGCAGUGUACCCGCGGCAAGACGGAAAGACCCCGUGAACCUUUACUAUAGCUUGACACUGAACACUGGUCCUUGAUGUGUAGGAUAGGUGGGAGGCUUUGAAGUGUGGACGCCAGUCUGCAUGGAGCCAUCCUUGAAAUACCACCCUUUAAUGGCUGGUGUUCUAACGUGGGCCCCUAAUCGGGGUUGCGGACAGUGUCUGGUGGGUAGUUUGACUGGGGCGGUCUCCUCCUAAAGAGUAACGGAGGAGCACGAAGGUCAGCUAAUCCUGGUCGGACAUCAGGAGGUUAGUGCAAUGGCAUAAGCUGGCUUGACUGCGAGCGUGACGGCGCGAGCAGGUGCGAAAGCAGGUCAUAGUGAUCCGGUGGUUCUGAAUGGAAGGGCCAUCGCUCAACGGAUAAAAGGUACUCCGGGGAUAACAGGCUGAUACCGCCCAAGAGUUCAUAUCGACGGCGGUGUUUGGCACCUCGAUGUCGGCUCAUCACAUCCUGGGGCUGAAGUAGGUCCCAAGGGUAUGGCUGUUCGCCAUUUAAAGUGGUACGCGAGCUGGGUUUAGAACGUCGUGAGACAGUUCGGUCCCUAUCUGCCGUGGGCGCUGGAGAAUUGAGGGGGGCUGCUCCUAGUACGAGAGGACCGGAGUGGACGCAUCACUGGUGUUCGGGUUGUCAUGCCAAUGGCAUUGCCCGGUAGCUAAAUGCGGAAGAGAUAAGUGCUGAAAGCAUCUAAGCACGAAACUUGCCCCGAGAUGAGUUCUCCCUGACUCCUUGAGAGUCCUGAAGGAACGUUGAAGACGACGACGUUGAUAGGCCGGGUGUGUAAGCGCAGCGAUGCGUUGAGCUAACCGGUACUAAUGAACCGUGAGGCUUAACCUUACAACGCCGAAG